This 463-nucleotide ribosomal RNA is filed under the name uncultured bacterium. RNAcentral describes it as "partial 16S ribosomal RNA". It matches the Rfam family "Bacterial small subunit ribosomal RNA", at positions 28 to 507 of the family's 1533-position model. The record is from RNAcentral.
GAUGAACGCUGACAGAAUGCUUAACACAUGCAAGUCUUUGGCGAAGCUGUGCUUGCACAGCCUAGCCAAGGCGGACGGGUGAGUAACGCGUAAGGAACUUGCCCUGCAGUCAGGGAUAACAGACGGAAACGACUGAUAAGACCUGGUAAAGUCAGGCGGACUCAUGUCCAGCCUGAUGAAAAGAGAUGCUGCAGGAGAGCCUUGCGUCCUAUUAGCUUGUUGGUGGGGUAACGGCCCACCAAGGCGAUGAUCGGUAGCCGGCCUGAGAGGGUGGACGGCCACAAGGGGACUGAGAUACGGCCCUUACUCCUACGGGAGGCAGCAGUAGGGAAUAUUGGACAAUGGGGGCAACACUGAUCCAGCAAUUCUGUGUGCACGAUGAAGGUUUUCGGAGUGUAAAGUGCUUUCAGCAGGGAAGAAAAAAAUGACGGUACCUGCAGAAGAAGCGACGGCUAAAUACGUG